This 445-nucleotide long non-coding RNA is filed under the name Neogale vison (American mink). RNAcentral's name for it is "Neovison vison (American mink) lncRNA (ENSNVIG00000005879.1)". Lineage: Eukaryota; Metazoa; Chordata; Mammalia; Carnivora; Mustelidae. The record is from RNAcentral.
CGCACGGCGGCCGCACGAGACGCGACGUACGGCCCGUGGGCCGUGCCGCUGAGCUCCCUGGGCUCGGCGCCUAGACCCGGCGGCUGAGCGGAGCCACGCCGCAUUGUCGGCCAGAAAAAGUCCUGGAAUUCCUUGAACUCUCGACUCCAGAGAGUCGAGAUUCCACUUGCUGAUGCGUAUGUGCUGAAACACAAGUCGUGAAGAUGAUUGGCCAAGGCCAGAGUAAACCAAUCUUUGUCCACAUGAGCCCUGCCUUAAGGACAGCUGAGGCCCCUUUCCCAGAGGCGCUACCGUGGAAUCCGGUCAUGCAUGCAGCAGUUCUGAGCUAUAGUCUCUGAAAGUAGCUGAGGUCAUUCGUUACAUUUUCUUCUCUAUCGCUUCUGGAAAUACUACUAUCUUUUGUUUCUGGAAUGCCUGGGGGGUCAUCCUCUGGGGCGCUGGUACA